RNAcentral lists this ribosomal RNA (301 nucleotides) under uncultured bacterium. Its description in RNAcentral is "partial 16S ribosomal RNA". It matches the Rfam family "Bacterial small subunit ribosomal RNA", at positions 509 to 807 of the family's 1533-position model. The record is from RNAcentral.
CAGUAGCCGCGGGAAUACGUAGGGUGCAAGCGUUAAUCGGAAUUACUGGGCGUAAAGCGUGCGCAGGCGGUUAUAUAAGACAGAUGUGAAAUCCCCGGGCUCAACCUGGGAACUGCAUUUGUGACUGUAUAGCUAGAGUACGGCAGAGGGGGAUGGAAUUCCGCGUGUAGCAGUGAAAUGCGUAGAUAUGCGGAGGGACACCGAUGGCGAAGGCAAUCCCCUGGGCCUGUACUGACGCUCAUGCACGAAAGCGUGGGGAGCAAACAGGAUUAGAUACCCGCGUAGUCCCUGUCUCUUAUAC